This 72-nucleotide transfer RNA is filed under the name Camponotus concavus. Its description in RNAcentral is "tRNA-Glu". The record is from RNAcentral. Lineage: Eukaryota; Metazoa; Arthropoda; Insecta; Hymenoptera; Formicidae.
AUUUAUAUAGUUUAAUGAAAAACAUUAUAUUUUCAUUAUAAAAAUAAUCUAAAAUUUUAAUAUUUAUAAAUA